This 253-nucleotide ribosomal RNA is filed under the name uncultured bacterium. RNAcentral describes it as "partial 16S ribosomal RNA". It matches the Rfam family "Bacterial small subunit ribosomal RNA", at positions 524 to 776 of the family's 1533-position model. The record is from RNAcentral.
UACAGAGGAGGCAAGCGUUGUUCGGAAUCACUGGGCUUAAAGCGCGUGUAGGCGGCCCGUCAAGUACCCUGUGAAAUCCCUCGGCUCAACCGGGGAAUGGCUGGGUAUACUGACAGGCUUGAGGUUGGUAGGGGUGCCUGGAACUCUAGGUGGAGCGGUGAAAUGCGUAGAUAUCUAGAGGAACGCCCGUGGCGAAAGCGGGGCACUGGGCCACACCUGACGCUAAGACGCGAAAGCGUGGGGAGCAAACAGG